UACGUAGGGGGCAAGCGUUGUCCGGAUUUAUUGGGCGUAAAGAGCGUGUAGGCGGCUUGGUAGGUCCGCUGUGAAAACUCGAGGCUCAACCUCGAGAUGUCGGCGGAAACCACUUGGCUAGAGUCCGGAAGAGGAGAGUGGAAUUCCUGGUGUAGCGGUGAAAUGCGCAGAUAUCAGGAAGAACACCUAUGGCGAAGGCAGUCCCCUGGGCCUGUACUGACGCUCAUGCACGAAAGCGUGGGGAGCAAACAGG
RNAcentral lists this ribosomal RNA (253 nucleotides) under uncultured bacterium. RNAcentral describes it as "partial 16S ribosomal RNA". It matches the Rfam family "Bacterial small subunit ribosomal RNA", at positions 524 to 776 of the family's 1533-position model. The record is from RNAcentral.